UCCUCUAUUUUAUUGUGGUAAUUAUGCUUACAUUAGGUGGUGUUGAAGCGAUGCAAAUGGUAGUUAGUGUUUUAAGAAAUUAGCCAGUUAGUUUUGUCGAUGUGCUCGGAUGAAUAUAUGUGUGUGCAUAAUGUGUUUAAAUUGAUUCUUUGUUUGCAUAAUGUCAAAGUAGGUUCGAAAUACUAGAUUAUGUGAAGUAAAUGGAUUCAUGGCUAUAAAAUAGCAGAAAUCUAUAUAUGCGAUUAGAAAGUGUCAAACAUAUGAUAAGUGUAGAAAGUAUAUAUGAGUAAAUUGAAUGUUGGCUGUUUGGACUGUGUCCAGUUUUAGUAUCCAGGUAGUUGAGUGAAGUAAACAUUGUUUUCUGUAGAAAUGUUAUAUAUAAAAGUUGUAGCUCACUUCUUUAUCUUGGUUGUGUAAAAAUUGCAUGACCAUAGGUUUAGUAGUUUAGGAGUUAUGAUUUUUCAAAGUCCAGUCUCAGAAUCUGCCCAGAUUCUGUACUGAUUUCGAAAAUAACCUUGUUUGCCCAAGUUAAACUUAGAAUCAGCUCUUAGUAAUUAUAGGAGAAUUGUAGUACUUUUCUUAAGCUUUGCAACAAAUUUUGGAGCACCAAUUUUGGUGGUCUAUAAGUCAGGUUAUGGCUGUUUGAAAUGUGAUGUUUGAAGCUGUCAAAAUCUGGACAGCAAUGCUUGUUUGUAUUAACUGACUUCGAUACACAUUGAAUCACCUUGAGAUGAUUAUAAAUGAACUGUAGACAAUUCUAUUAGCUUUCUAAAAAGUCUAGGAUCACCUGAUUUGGAUUUCUAAAACUCCAGUUAUGAAUUAAUGAAGUAAGUAGUCGAAUUCUAUCCAAAUCUGGACAGAAAUUGCGUUUAGUAUUGUUUGACAUUUCUAAAUGUCGAAUCUCAUGGUGAUGAUAAUACCAAAAUUUUAGAGGACUUUAUAAGCUUUCCAAAAAGUCUUAGUUUACUAUUUUUGGAUGAAUAUUGUGUAAGUUAUGAAUAAAACAACUAGCUCUACAACUUUCAUUUAAUCAAGCGUGUUUCUGCUUUAUCUUGCUAUGCUCUGACCGAAGCUUUAAUUCUUGUGCGACUGGUAUUUCUGUGUUCUGCAGAUCAUUUAGCUCAAGUAAUUGGUAGUUCAACUGUCAUAAUGUUUGGUUUGGGAUUUCUAUCUGUGGAUGGUUCGUCUGGCUUAUCUAUGCUUUUAGGUGCUUCAUCUGGCUUAUCUAUGUUUUUGCGCUCUCGCUUUUGCAUGUGUUGCAGGAUGUUGACAAUUGGAAAUCCAUGUAGCAAAUAAAUGAUUUUGGAACUGGGGGCAGGUCAGAGUCUAGAGCAUGUUCAUUCCACACAUUGGAGGUGGAUUUUCCUCAAUUGGAGAUAUUGACAAAUUGGAAAAAAAUGUGACUUGACCUGUGCUGCAACAACCUUAAGGGCUUCUUUGGAUUACAGGAAUUUUGAAGGAAUAAUGCUGGAAUAGGAAAGUUUCCUAUCCUAUAGUUUGGCUGGCAUGAUGCACCAAUUAUAUUCCAUAGGAUUUUAUCUCUUUAUGUGUUGAUUCCAUAGGAUUUCUAACAUCCACUCAGAGCUCUUGGAAAAAUUCCUACACGCGAAGCACGAGAAGUGGAAUGCUAAUGCUAGCAACUAAUGGCCCAUUAUGGCUUGUCCUACCCAAAUUUAAAUAGAGAAAAACACAUAUAAAGCACCCAUUUGAUAUUGUUUUUAUCCAAGCUUGACAUUCAUGCAAAAUGAACCCUUCGUUUUUUCCUUGCCCCAACCAAACAACCUUCCACUCAAUAUUACUACGUUUUACAAUCCUCUGAUUUGCACAUACAAUCCUACGUUUUUCCUAUUCCUAUGUUUUUCAAUUCCUACAUUUCAAAGGAGCCCUAAACUAGGAGGGGCUUCUAAUUCUUCAUCUCUACCAACAGUCCUCUCCUGUUACUUUUUAAACCAAUAACUUUUUCAAGUUUGUGCAGAUGCACACAUCCUUGAGCCAAAAUAGAAAAAAAAUCAUAGAAGAGUUCUUUGGUAAAUAUAAAUUGUGCACUCAUAAUUUUGCAAGUGCAUCUAUGGAUACCUUCACUUAUUCCUAACGCUAUUAACUUUGAUGUCUUUCAGGUUGUCACGUGAUUCAAGAGUAUUAAUGAUAUACAAAAGUUUGCUUUAUGGCAAGUCAGGUAACCACAAAUUUUGGGCAAUGACAGGGAUGUGCAGUGGUGGUCUCUUAAAAGAAUUUUGUGUUCCAGCGUAGCUAUUUCCACUGCAAACUAUCAAAUCAUUACAAACUGCUGGGAACAUGCUCCAUCUUAUUAUCGAAGCCUGUAUCUCGAGAAAGUUGAUCGAUACAUCUGCUUAUUUAUGGCCUGGUUAUGUUGUACCAUCUGGGACUUUAAAAGAUACAGCUUUGCCCCAAGAAUCCCCUUGGUUAAACUUUAUGAAAGGGUCUCGACAUUCAGGACCCCUUAUUGAUGCUCUGGUCGCAUCUCCUGCUUCAAGUUCAAGCUCUGCAAGAUGAGGUCUGUUCAGUUUGGCCAAAAAGGCAUCCCCUACCUGAACACCUACGACGGCUGCACCAUCCUCUACCCCGACCCGCUCAUCAAGGCCAACGACACCAUCAAGAUCGAUCUAGAGACCAACAAGAUCAUGGACUUCUUCAAGUUUGACGUCAGCAACGUGGUCAUGGUGACCGGCGGGAGGAACACCGGGCGUGUAGGAGUGAUCAAGAACUGGGAGAAGCACAAGGGCAGCUUCGAGGUCAUCGACGUGCUGCUUGGAGCUUUUUGCAUGCUAUGUCUAGUUUUCUCCUAUUUGUUGUACAAGAAAACAUAGAAUGGAAUUCAAAUUUGGUGGUCGCAAAAGUGUGGAGACUUGAAUUCAUAUAAAGUUAGGCUUAACAUUAGUGCAAAAAGUUGUAUUUUAGUUUAGAUUUAGAGUACACUUAUGUAUGCCUUGUUUGACAAUACUUAUUUAUGAUAUAUUGAAUGGUACCUAUUGUAAUCGUCUAUUAUUGUAGGAUAUUCGAGACAGUUUGAUAAAUACUUUA
This is an RNA transcript of Zea mays, 3042 nucleotides long. RefSeq lists it as uncharacterized. The transcript is spliced from 4 exons. Lineage: Eukaryota; Viridiplantae; Streptophyta; Magnoliopsida; Poales; Poaceae. The record is from RefSeq and is a predicted model, not a curated record.